GAUGGACGCUAGCGAUAGGCUUAACACAUGCAAGUCGAGGGGUAACGUGUUGGAAGCUUGCUUCCGAUGACGACGACCGGCGGAUGGGUGCGUAACGCGUAUGCAACUUGCCUCACAGUGGAGAAUAACCCGGAGAAAUCCGGACUAAUACUCCAUACACUCUUAAGUACGCCUGUACAUGAGAGGAAAGAUUUAUCGCUGUGAGAUAGGCAUGCGUCCUAUUAGGUAGUUGGUGAGGUAACGGCUCACCAAGCCGACGAUAGGUAGGGGUGCUGAGAGGCAGAUCCCCCACAUUGGGACUGAGACACGGCCCAAACUCCUACGGGAGGCAGCAGUGAGGAAUAUUGGUCAAUGGAGGAAACUCUGAACCAGCCAAGUCGCGUGAAGGAAGAAUGUCCUAAGGAUUGUAAACUUCUUUAGCGAGCGAGUAAGGACUUCCACGUGAUGGGAGUUUGAAAGUAGCUCGAGAAUAAGUAUCGGCUAACUCCGUG
RNAcentral lists this ribosomal RNA (491 nucleotides) under uncultured bacterium. Its description in RNAcentral is "partial 16S ribosomal RNA". It matches the Rfam family "Bacterial small subunit ribosomal RNA", at positions 28 to 507 of the family's 1533-position model. The record is from RNAcentral.